AAAUCGGGGUGUUACAAACUUGGUAUCUGAGCCUAAGGUUCAAUAGAUUUCUAGGAAGUUGAAAGCCGCAUCUAGUAGAGUCUUGUACAUGGGUGUGUUUCACACCACAUUUAUGUGCGGGAGGCUAUAAGAUGUUUUCAGAACAGUCCCCUUUCUUCAUUAUUCAUGUCAUGCUAGUAAGUAUAAUCACAAGUUAAACUCUCAGUCUAAUCCCUUCUUUUCUUAUUCCAGACCA
RNAcentral lists this long non-coding RNA (235 nucleotides) under Capsicum annuum. RNAcentral describes it as "long non-coding RNA (CANN_LNC017806)". Lineage: Eukaryota; Viridiplantae; Streptophyta; Magnoliopsida; Solanales; Solanaceae. The record is from RNAcentral.